CCAAGAUCCAACAUUUUUCAAUCUAAAUCGACUUCGAUCGAUCCAAGCACUUUUAAUCACUCGACACAGAUCCUCGAGCAAGCGUCGCUAAACCGUCGAUUUUCAAAGUAUCAAAAGACUUCGAUGGCGAACGCCAAAGUCACGGUAGACUGAUCUCGCGGCAACUUCCCAAAGAGAAACGGGCAAAACUAGCGGCGAACCGAGUCGAAACGCCUGCAGCAUCGUCUACCGAUGCUUUGGAAAACGAAACACGAGGAUAAUUGGCCCGAAAGCGCGUUUCGUUGAGCCGAUAUUACCACAUAUAUACGUGUUUAUGUACACAAUACUUUCCCGCCACUUCUAGCACAUUCUCCGCUUUGAAGUUCACCGAGCUAUGCGCACACGCGUUCCUUCAUUUCUCUCAAGAGCGCGCUGCGAAUCCGUAGCAGCUUUCACGCGAUUCGAUCAUCAAUCACGCGGCUCCCGUUACAAGACGAAGAAAACGCGGAAGCUAGCUACGAUUCUAUCCAACCACUCGUCUCGACUGAACAAUCAUGGACCACUCUUGGAACUGUGUUUAAGAAUGUUUUUGCCAUUAUGUAUAUUAUUUUCUUACCAUUAUGAAUCGAGUACCGUUUCGUUGGUUUUUCAGUGUGACCGUUUAAUGGGAAUUUAUGGGAAAUUGUUGUGGUUGUUUUAAUAUUCUGAAUGUGUGAAAAGUUUGCAUGGAGAUUGCGACACGUACAAAGUGUUAAUAUAUUCGUUAUCGCCAUUUAAAGAAGAAAUACUUUGAUUAUGUCGAUUUUAUAGUAUAAUAAAAAAUAUGAGAAUGAGCAAAUCAUUCUUUUUAAUAUACGUAUUAAUUAUCUUCGUUUUGAAUAGAACAAAAUUUAAAAAUUAAUAAUCAAUGCUCGUUGAAGAAUAUUAUACUCUUUGUAUCGAUAAAACUAAAAAUCGAAACAAAUAAAAAUGUUGAUCCAGACUUACUUGUUGAAUUAUAAGUGAACUGCGUGUAGAUAUAUAAAAAACACAAAAUACUCAAAACAUAGUAGACAUUAUGAUGUUUGAGGAAUAAAGAAAAUCUUUAUUCAAGCUAUCUUUUUUUUAAUCAUGUUCAUAAAAGUUUAAUUUUACAUAAAAAAGUCCAGUUAUAAUUAAGAUUUACGUUAGAUAAACUAGGAAAUAGAGUUAUCUUAUUCUUUCUGCGUUUCGCUUCGUUUAACGCAAACUUCAAUUAUUUAUAACUUAAUAAAUAUGUCUCGCUCGACAUUUUUAUACAUUAAUUUUUAUAUUCGUUAUAAUCUUUGUAAAAUCGAUUCUUCAAAAAUAUUAUACGAAUAUAUUAACAUGUUUUGAAAUGUUACAAAUUUUUUACUUAUUUAUUCAAUAAUUAUAAGUUUUAAUCAUUUCGUGUCGACUCAUCGUUCGUUAUUUAUAGAAAUUAUUUUUUUUAUUUAAUUCGAUUAAUUAAAAAAAUAAUUUUAUACAAACUCUUGCUUAGAUAUGCGAUCUCGUGCGCUGCUGGCUCUAUACUGAACUUAUUAAUAAUAUUGACUCGAGGAACAUACGUACGAGGAACAUACGUAUGUAAACAUUACGCGCUAUAGGAAAGUAUACGUAAACUCGACUGUAACUUCUUUGUUUCAUCGAUAUACUCGUCGCGUAAAAAUUUAAUUUUCACUCGUCAUAUAUUAAUUCCCUUUAAUUAAUUAUAAUUUAAAUCACGAUGAGGAUAUAUUCGAAUUUUUGAGAUAAUAAAUCAUGCAAGGGAUAAAAUAUACGUAAAAAAAUACGAUAUUAUACGAAAGUGAAAUCAGUAUUCAUUUAUUGAGCUAUUACGUUUAUCGAUAUCUAUUUUCUAAUCGUUAUUUGCUAUUGGCUUGAAUGUGAAUUAUAAGAGCGCUUAUUCAUCGAAGCCUAUUUUAUCGUAUCAUUAAUCGUGGUGGGAAACGAUAUGGAGAAAGAUAAAUCGCAGACUGAACUCUCUUUCAUUCUACAAGAGAUUAUCAGAUCGAACAUUUUUCCACCUCUGAUCCACCCUUUUACACAAAAAGAAAUAAACGAAAGAUAAAUAAUACGUAUCUUGCGUUUAUCGUAUCUUGCUAUUAUCUCAUUUUUCAAAAAAUUCACAAUAAUAGUAUUUUUCUACAUUUUAUCCCUUGUAUGAUUUAUUAUCUCAAAAAUUCGAAUAUAUCGUUAUAUAUCGCUCGAGUUUUAAAAGUUUUCGAUCCAAAUGAUCAUUCUUCACGGAUCGUGUAGCAAUUUAAAAAGAUAAAGCAAUCCUUAAAAGUUGAAUUAAUAAUAUGAAAGGAUACCAAAAAUUUUUAAAUUAUUUUUCUUUAUUUUAAAAACCGUUUUUCGUUUUCGUGAAAAAAAAAAAAACAAAUCAGCAUAAUAUUCGAGUUCAACGAGAAAGCAGAAACCGAAACGAUAAAUUUGAAGAAUUCAUAAAUUAACAUUUAAUUUUUAAUUUGUUUCCAUUCUGUUUGACGAAUCGUUUCGAAAGCAUUCCAAUGCAAAUGGCUGAAAGAAGGACGCGGUGCGUGCGCACGGAGAAAGACGAUUCGACUUUUCCUUCGCAGACAGAAAAGGAACAAGGUGCAGAGGAACGAUUGAGAGCAAUUGAGGCGAUCGUUCGAUUUGGAUCUGUCUGAGUUUUAAGCACCCACUCCAUUCUGCGCGACCAACCGCAGACGUUCGUUCCAAUGCUUGAGUACGCACUUAAACGUCUGAAUCUUCGUCUGCAAAAAUACUACGAUUCUUUCCAGGGAAAGUGACCUCCGUGAUCUUGGACAAAGUGAUCAUAAGGGAUCUUGGACAAACAUGUUUCUGUUAUCCCUUCUUUAAUUGAUUCAACGUUGUGGAUAAAAUAAACGAUAGGAAUUUAUCAAAAAAUCAGAAGAGAAGACAUGUAUAUAGUAAUGGAUAAAAUAAACGAAUUUAUUAAAAAAAUCAGAAGAGGAGAUAUGUUUACAUGUAAAUCAGAUAUACGUGAUGAAAUUACUGAAAUUUUGCGAAUAUAUUACAUAUAGUUUGAUAUAGUGACUCGAAGGAUACAAUCACAGGAACACGAAAUAAAAGGAAUGUCGCGAGCGUCAUGUUGACGAGAAAGAAACAAGGAUUAUGCGGAUAACACACAUAACAUCGGUCGACGAUGCAGCUUCGUUCUGGUCGUGAGAUCAUAUUUAUAAAUCGAGUCGCGGAACGAUGAUGGAGAAUCUUUGAAUAUCUCUUCUCUAAAAUUAGGAGGAUGGUCGAGGAACGGUUUCGAAAUUCUCGCGGCCCAUUUCGAGGUCUGGAAAUAUCACGAGAACGGGAAUGAAAAACACAUCACGAGGGCACGAAAUUUCUAAUUUCUUACUACUGAGAAGAUUCGACGAAAUCGACGAGAAAAUUUGGAAAAUAUUUCAUGAAAAUGGACGACGAAGAGAGAAACCUUUUUUAAAGGCAAAAACAAUUUCGAAUUCCGGAUGAAUAUUGGAAAAAUUUAUAUUCUCGUAGACGAGAACGAUCGAGAAGAAGAAAGUAUACGGUUCUUUGAGUGGGAUUAAUUUAAAAGGAGAUAAAAUUUGCGUAAGAAAUAGGUUAUAAUUAAACAGUAACUGUUAUUCAAUUCUAUUGUUGUCAAUUGCUGCAUGCAAUUCUUGCAUCUAUUAAUAUUUUAUUGGAAAAUUGCUAAUAUUAACUAUUACUCAUAACAUUAACUAUAAAGAACCUUUAUUAUUGCUUGCAAAAAUAUAUCUGUAGAUAUAUUAUUCCGAUUGCAUAAUAACGUAUAAUAAAACAGGAAUAAUUUUUGCAAUUUAACGAUCAUUCAAUUUUCUCGUAUCUUCUUAGAGCGUAGAUAGUAAGCUUUCUUCCUCAUAAAUUUUAAUCAAUAAAAUUAUAUUUGAAUUAGAAAUAAAAUUAUUAAUUAUUAAUAUUAUUGUUUACAGUAAAUUUCUUUCAAACCGUUUAUACCGUUCCUGAUGUUACACCGAUGAUUUCUAAUCCAUCUAUCUUAUCUACACCUCUG
Apis laboriosa (Himalayan honeybee) is the source of this 3994-nucleotide long non-coding RNA. RefSeq lists it as uncharacterized. The transcript is spliced from 3 exons. NCBI's taxonomy places the organism in Eukaryota, Metazoa, Arthropoda, Insecta, Hymenoptera, Apidae. The record is from RefSeq and is a predicted model, not a curated record.